AUUGAACGCUGGCGGCAGGACUAACACAUGCAAGUCGAACGGUAACAGGAAGAAGCUUGCUUCUUUGCUGACGAGUGGCGGACGGGUGAGUAAUGUCUGGGAAACUGCCUGAUGGAGGGGGAUAACUACUGGAAACGGUAGCUAAUACCGCAUAACGUCGCAAGACCAAAGAGGGGGACCUUCGGGCCUCUUGCCAUCGGAUGUGCCCAGAUGGGAUUAGCUAGUAGGUGGGGUAACGGCUCACCUAGGCGACGAUCCCUAGCUGGUCUGAGAGGAUGACCAGCCACACUGGAACUGAGACACGGUCCAGACUCCUACGGGAGGCAGCAGUGGGGAAUAUUGCACAAUGGGCGCAAGCCUGAUGCAGCCAUGCCGCGUGUAUGAAGAAGGCCUUCGGGUUGUAAAGUACUUUCAGCGGGGAGGAAGGGAGUAAAGUUAAUACCUUUGCUCAUUGACGUUACCCGCAGAAGAAGCACCGGCUAACUCCGUG
This 490-nucleotide ribosomal RNA is filed under the name uncultured bacterium. RNAcentral's name for it is "partial 16S ribosomal RNA". It matches the Rfam family "Bacterial small subunit ribosomal RNA", at positions 30 to 507 of the family's 1533-position model. The record is from RNAcentral.